AGUCGAGCGGACCGGGCGGGAGCUUGCUUCCGCUUGGUUAGCGGCGGACGGGUGAGUAACACGUGGGUAACCUGCCCGUAAGACCGGGAUAACUCCGGGAAACCGGGGCUAAUACCGGAUAACACCGAAGACCGCAUGGUCUUCGGUUGAAAGGCGGCUUCGGCUGCCACUUACGGAUGGGCCCGCGGCGCAUUAGCUAGUUGGUGAGGUAACGGCUCACCAAGGCGACGAUGCGUAGCCGGCCUGAGAGGGUGACCGGCCACACUGGGACUGAGACACGGCCCAGACUCCUACGGGAGGCAGCAGUAGGGAAUCUUCCGCAAUGGACGAAAGUCUGACGGAGCGACGCCGCGUGAGCGAAGAAGGUCUUCGGAUCGUAAAGCUCUGUUGUUAGGGAAGAAGAAGUGCCGUUCGAACAGGGCGGCGCGGUGACGGUACCUAACGAGAAAGCCCCGGCUAACUACGUGCCAGCAGCCGCGGUAAUACGUAGGGGGCGAGCGUUGUCCGGAAUUAUUGGGCGUAAAGCGCGCGCAGGCGGUCCCUUAAGUCUGAUGUGAAAGCCCACGGCUUAACCGUGGAGGGUCAUUGGAAACUGGGGGACUUGAGUGCAGAAGAGGAGAGCGGAAUUCCACGUGU
Molecule: ribosomal RNA, 636 nt
Filed under: Parageobacillus thermoglucosidasius
Lineage: Bacteria; Bacillati; Bacillota; Bacilli; Caryophanales; Anoxybacillaceae
Description: bacterial SSU rRNA
Rfam family: Bacterial small subunit ribosomal RNA
Source: RNAcentral